GCCUGAGUGACGAAAUUGGUAGACGUAGCGGAUUCAAAAUCCGCCGGUGAAUAACCAUGUCGGUUCGAGUCCGACCUCAGGCA
RNAcentral lists this transfer RNA (83 nucleotides) under Bisgaardia hudsonensis. It matches the Rfam family "tRNA". From Rfam's summary of the family: Transfer RNA (tRNA) molecules are approximately 80 nucleotides in length. Their secondary structure includes four short double-helical elements and three loops (D, anti-codon, and T loops). The record is from Rfam by way of RNAcentral. Lineage: Bacteria; Pseudomonadati; Pseudomonadota; Gammaproteobacteria; Pasteurellales; Pasteurellaceae.